RNAcentral lists this ribosomal RNA (464 nucleotides) under uncultured Myxococcales bacterium. Its description in RNAcentral is "partial 16S ribosomal RNA". Lineage: Bacteria; Pseudomonadati; Myxococcota; Myxococcia; Myxococcales. The record is from RNAcentral.
CACAGAGUUAGCCGGUGCUUGCUAAGGAGGUACCGUCAACUUCGGUCCUGUUAGAACCGAUUCUUUCGUCCCUCCCCACAGAGCUUUACAACCCGAAGGCCUUCAUCACUCACGCGGCAUCGCUGGUUCAGGCUUGCGCCCAUUGACCAAGAUUCCCCAUGCUGCCUCCCGUAGGAGUCUGGUCCGUGUUCCAGUACCAGUGUGGCUGAUCAUCCUCUCAGACCAGCUACCCGUCUUUGCCUUGGUGAGCCAUUACCUCCCCAACUAGCUGAUGGGCCGCAGACCCCUCCCCGGCGGUAGGCCCUUGCGGGUCCCUACUUUGCUCAAAGUGGCAAACCACCUCGAGCUGUACGCGGUAUUAGCGCUCCUUUCGGAACGUUGUCCCCCUCCGGAGGGCAGGUUAUCUACGUGUUACGCACCCGUGCGCCACUUUCAGGGGUUCGCCCCCUUCUCGUGCGACUUGC